RNAcentral lists this ribosomal RNA (482 nucleotides) under uncultured bacterium. RNAcentral's name for it is "partial 16S ribosomal RNA". It matches the Rfam family "Bacterial small subunit ribosomal RNA", at positions 30 to 507 of the family's 1533-position model. The record is from RNAcentral.
AUUGAACGCUGGCGGCAUGCCUUACACAUGCAAGUCGAACGGUAACGGGCCUUCGGGUGCCGACGAGUGGCGAACGGGUGAGUAAUACAUCGGAACGUGCCCGAUCGUGGGGGAUAACGAGGCGAAAGCUUUGCUAAUACCGCUUACGAUCUACGGAUGAAAGCAGGGGACCGCAAGGCCUUGCGCGGACGGAGCGGCCGAUGGCAGAUUAGGUAGUUGGUGGGAUAAAAGCGUACCAAGCCGACGAUCUGUAGCUGGUCUGAGAGGAUGAUCAGCCACACUGGGACUGAGACACGGCCCAGACUCCUACGGGAGGCAGCAGUGGGGAAUUUUGGACAAUGGGCGCAAGCCUGAUCCAGCCAUGCCGCGUGCAGGAUGAAGGCCUUCGGGUUGUAAACUGCUUUUGUACGGAACGAAAAGCCUUCUUUUAAUACAGGAGGGUCAUGACGGUACCGUAAGAAUAAGCACCGGCUAACUACGUG